Molecule: ribosomal RNA, 464 nt
Filed under: uncultured bacterium
Lineage: Bacteria
Description: partial 16S ribosomal RNA
Rfam family: Bacterial small subunit ribosomal RNA
Source: RNAcentral
GACGAACGCUGGCGGCGUGCUUAACACAUGCAAGUCGACCGGAAAGGCCCUGCUUGCAGGUUACUCGAUUGGCGAACGGGUGUGUAACACGUGGGUGUUCUGCCCUGCACUUCGGGUUAAGCCUGGGAAACUGGGUCUAAUACCGGAUAGGAGCCAUUUUUAGUGUGAUGGUUGGAUAGUUUUUUCGGUAUUGGAUUUGCUCGCGGCCUAUCAGCUUGUUGGUGUGGUAAUGGCCUACCAAGGCGGCGACGGGUAGCCGGCCUGAGAGGGUGGACGGCCACAAUGGGACUGAGAUACGGACCAGACGCCUACGGGAGGCAGAAGUGGGGAAUAUUGCACAAUGGGCGCAAGCCUGAUGCAGCGACGCCGCGUGGGGGAUGACGGCCGUCGGGUUGUAAACACAUUUCGCUAGGGACGAAGCUUGUGUGACGGUAACUAGAUAAGAAGCACCGGCUAACUACGUG